UCUUUUUGUCGACUUUCAAAAUCUUACGUGCACGUCGUCGAGAAAUAUUCUUAGUUUUUCGAUACAAGUCCAAUAAUGAAAGUUUUUAUUUUUGGACGACGAGUGAAUAGUAAAUCGGGAUUUCUCGAUAAACGAACCGAGCUCGUUUAUCAGAAUUUUGAGAACGAGCUUGCGUUUUCUAUAUUUAUAUAGAAUUACGAGUGCAAUGAAAGUGAGUAGAGGUUGAGAGGGCGAGUAACAAAGAGUAUGGGUUGUUAGUUGUUAAAACGAGACGAGACGAGAUAUUUAACGACUAACGGGUUAAUAUCCUAAAUAUCUAACCUACCCUACCCCUAACCACCCCCAAACCUCCCAAAACCCCUUUCCCCUCACUAACUCACGCUAUAUCAGCCCACACCACACACACAACUCACAUAUUCACACACACAACACCUAAAACACACACUACACACGCCAUUUUCCAUUUAAGCUUGGACGGAGCUUUUGACCUCCGAUUUGAGCACCGAGACGAGCGCCGAUCAUCUUUUCGAUCACGUAUCUAAGUAGGUCCUUUUGGGAAGUAACGACUUGAGGGAGAGAGUGACGUUACUCAUUGAUACAGAGACACAACGAGGUUGAGCUGAUGUGAUGAUGGUGCUGCAAUGAGCGGAGUCUCCAGGGUUGUUAAUAAAUAGUUAACUUGUCUAGAAUAUGUCUUCAUACAUAUGUCUAGCUACUUUCCGCUGCAAGAUGUUGUUGAUGUUAUAGUAUGUUAUGUCAUACUUUGAGUCUUAAGAGAAUGGUUUCAUACGAUGUAUAACUUGAUUAAUGAUAUUAAUUAAGUUUUAUGCUGUC
Molecule: long non-coding RNA, 834 nt
Organism: Salvia miltiorrhiza (redroot sage)
Lineage: Eukaryota; Viridiplantae; Streptophyta; Magnoliopsida; Lamiales; Lamiaceae
Exons: 3
Source: RefSeq, a predicted model, not a curated record